Molecule: ribosomal RNA, 497 nt
Filed under: uncultured bacterium
Lineage: Bacteria
Description: partial 16S ribosomal RNA
Rfam family: Bacterial small subunit ribosomal RNA
Source: RNAcentral
GAUGAACGCUGGCGGCGUGCCUAAUACAUGCAAGUCGAGCGAACAGACGAGGAGCUUGCUCCUCUGACGUUAGCGGCGGACGGGUGAGUAACACGUGGAUAACCUACCUAUAAGACUGGGAUAACUUCGGGAAACCGGAGCUAAUACCGGAUAAUAUAUUGAACCGCAUGGUUCAAUAGUGAAAGACGGUUUUGCUGUCACUUAUAGAUGGAUCCGCGCCGCAUUAGCUAGUUGGUAAGGUAACGGCUUACCAAGGCAAUGAUGCGUAGCCGACCUGAGAGGGUGAUCGGCCACACUGGAACUGAGACACGGUCCAGACUCCUACGGGAGGCAGCAGUAGGGAAUCUUCCGCAAAGGGCGAAAGCCUGACGGAGCAACGCCGCGUGAGUGAUGAAGGUCUUCGGAUCGUAAAACUCUGUUAUUAGGGGAGAACAAAUGUGUAAGUAACUAUGCACGUCUUGACGGUACCUAAUCAGAAAGCCACGGCUAACUACGUG